GGGGAUGAAAGGAUUUCGACGGGGAUUCAGAGUCAUGAUAAGCGAGUAGCGGUGUGGACCCGCUAUAAAAGCCACAGUUUAUUAAAAAUAAACGACAACAAUACAGUUCUUAAAGCUGCUUAACUUUUAGCAGCCGUCGUUACCGGGAGCACCGCGGCCCGGAUAACGGCGUCGAUCAGCGGUGAACGUGCGUGCCAGAUUAGCCUUGUAUGACACCAUGAAUUAAAGGCUACCGUAAGGUGAAGCCUGCCGUUCGGCGGCACCUGAGGGGAAUCCUAAAAGAUCGGAUACACUCGUAGAAAGUUGUGGUAAUGGGUUUUCGGACGCGGUUUCGAGUACCGCCAUCUCCACCA
This 353-nucleotide transfer-messenger RNA is filed under the name Clostridia bacterium. It matches the Rfam family "transfer-messenger RNA". From Rfam's summary of the family: Bacterial tmRNA, also known as 10Sa RNA or SsrA, is named for its dual tRNA and mRNA-like properties. Its role is to liberate the mRNA from a stalled ribosome. To accomplish this part of the tmRNA is used as a reading frame that ends in a translation stop signal. RNAcentral also lists the same sequence under 1 other name. The record is from RNAcentral. Lineage: Bacteria; Bacillati; Bacillota; Clostridia.